UUAAGUUAUUAAGGGCGCACGGUGGAUGCCUUGGCACUAGAAGCCGAUGAAGGACGUUACUAACGACGAUAUGCUUUGGGGAGCUGUAAGUAAGCUUUGAUCCAGAGAUUUCCGAAUGGGGAAACCCAGCAUGAGUUAUGUCAUGUUAUCGAUAUGUGAAUACAUAGCAUAUCAGAAGGCACACCCGGAGAACUGAAACAUCUUAGUACCCGGAGGAAGAGAAAGAAAAUUCGAUUCCCUUAGUAGCGGCGAGCGAAACGGGAAGAGCCCAAACCAACAAGCUUGCUUGUUGGGGUUGUAGGACACUCUAUACGGAGUUACAAAGGACGACAUUAGACGAAUCAUCUGGAAAGAUGAAUCAAAGAAGGUAAUAAUCCUGUAGUCGAAAAUGUUGUCUCUCUUGAGUGGAUCCUGAGUACGACGGAGCACGUGAAAUUCCGUCGGAAUCUGGGAGGACCAUCUCCUAAGGCUAAAUACUCUCUAGUGACCGAUAGUGAACCAGUACCGUGAGGGAAAGGUGAAAAGCACCCCGGAAGGGGAGUGAAAUAGAACCUGAAACCGUGUGCUUAUAAGUAGUCAGAGCCCGUUAAUGGGUGAUGGCGUGCCUUUUGUAGAAUGAACCGGCGAGUUACGAUUUGAUGCAAGGUUAAGCAGUAAAUGUGGAGCCGUAGCGAAAGCGAGUCUGAAUAGGGCGUUUAGUAUUUGGUCGUAGACCCGAAACCAGGUGAUCUACCCUUGGUCAGGUUGAAGUUCAGGUAACACUGAAUGGAGGACCGAACCGACUUACGUUGAAAAGUGAGCGGAUGAACUGAGGGUAGCGGAGAAAUUCCAAUCGAACCUGGAGAUAGCUGGUUCUCUCCGAAAUAGCUUUAGGGCUAGCCUCAAGUGAUGAUUAUUGGAGGUAGAGCACUGUUUGGACGAGGGGCCCCUCUCGGGUUACCGAAUUCAGACAAACUCCGAAUGCCAAUUAAUUUAACUUGGGAGUCAGAACAUGGGUGAUAAGGUCCGUGUUCGAAAGGGAAACAGCCCAGACCACCAGCUAAGGUCCCAAAAUAUAUGUUAAGUGGAAAAGGAUGUGGCGUUGCCCAGACAACUAGGAUGUUGGCUUAGAAGCAGCCAUCAUUUAAAGAGUGCGUAAUAGCUCACUAGUCGAGUGACACUGCGCCGAAAAUGUACCGGGGCUAAACAUAUUACCGAAGCUGUGGAUUGUCCUUUGGACAAUGGUAGGAGAGCGUUCUAAGGGCGUUGAAGCAUGAUCGUAAGGACAUGUGGAGCGCUUAGAAGUGAGAAUGCCGGUGUGAGUAGCGAAAGACGGGUGAGAAUCCCGUCCACCGAUUGACUAAGGUUUCCAGAGGAAGGCUCGUCCGCUCUGGGUUAGUCGGGUCCUAAGCUGAGGCCGACAGGCGUAGGCGAUGGAUAACAGGUUGAUAUUCCUGUACCACCUAUAAUCGUUUUAAUCGAUGGGGGGACGCAGUAGGAUAGGCGAAGCGUGCGAUUGGAUUGCACGUCUAAGCAGUAAGGCUGAGUAUUAGGCAAAUCCGGUACUCGUUAAGGCUGAGCUGUGAUGGGGAGAAGACAUUGUGUCUUCGAGUCGUUGAUUUCACACUGCCGAGAAAAGCCUCUAGAUAGAAAAUAGGUGCCCGUACCGCAAACCGACACAGGUAGUCAAGAUGAGAAUUCUAAGGUGAGCGAGCGAACUCUCGUUAAGGAACUCGGCAAAAUGACCCCGUAACUUCGGGAGAAGGGGUGCUCUUUAGGGUUAACGCCCAGAAGAGCCGCAGUGAAUAGGCCCAAGCGACUGUUUAUCAAAAACACAGGUCUCUGCUAAACCGUAAGGUGAUGUAUAGGGGCUGACGCCUGCCCGGUGCUGGAAGGUUAAGAGGAGUGGUUAGCUUCUGCGAAGCUACGAAUCGAAGCCCCAGUAAACGGCGGCCGUAACUAUAACGGUCCUAAGGUAGCGAAAUUCCUUGUCGGGUAAGUUCCGACCCGCACGAAAGGCGUAACGAUUUGGGCACUGUCUCAACGAGAGACUCGGUGAAAUCAUAGUACCUGUGAAGAUGCAGGUUACCCGCGACAGGACGGAAAGACCCCGUGGAGCUUUACUGUAGCCUGAUAUUGAAAUUCGGCACAGCUUGUACAGGAUAGGUAGGAGCCUUUGAAACGUGAGCGCUAGCUUACGUGGAGGCGCUGGUGGGAUACUACCCUAGCUGUGUUGGCUUUCUAACCCGCACCACUUAUCGUGGUGGGAGACAGUGUCAGGCGGGCAGUUUGACUGGGGCGGUCGCCUCCUAAAAGGUAACGGAGGCGCUCAAAGGUUCCCUCAGAAUGGUUGGAAAUCAUUCAUAGAGUGUAAAGGCAUAAGGGAGCUUGACUGCGAGACCUACAAGUCGAGCAGGGUCGAAAGACGGACUUAGUGAUCCGGUGGUUCCGCAUGGAAGGGCCAUCGCUCAACGGAUAAAAGCUACCCCGGGGAUAACAGGCUUAUCUCCCCCAAGAGUUCACAUCGACGGGGAGGUUUGGCACCUCGAUGUCGGCUCAUCGCAUCCUGGGGCUGUAGUCGGUCCCAAGGGUUGGGCUGUUCGCCCAUUAAAGCGGUACGCGAGCUGGGUUCAGAACGUCGUGAGACAGUUCGGUCCCUAUCCGUCGUGGGCGUAGGAAAUUUGAGAGGAGCUGUCCUUAGUACGAGAGGACCGGGAUGGACAUACCUCUGGUGUACCAGUUGUCGUGCCAACGGCAUAGCUGGGUAGCUAUGUGUGGACGGGAUAAGUGCUGAAAGCAUCUAAGCAUGAAGCCCCCCUCAAGAUGAGAUUUCCCAACUUCGGUUAUAAGAUCCCUCAAAGAUGAUGAGGUUAAUAGGUUCGAGGUGGAAGCAUGGUGACAUGUGGAGCUGACGAAUACUAAUCGAUCGAAGACUUAAUCAA
This 2921-nucleotide ribosomal RNA is filed under the name Staphylococcus aureus VET0436R. RNAcentral's name for it is "bacterial LSU rRNA". It matches the Rfam family "Bacterial large subunit ribosomal RNA". The record is from RNAcentral. Lineage: Bacteria; Bacillati; Bacillota; Bacilli; Caryophanales; Staphylococcaceae.